This 460-nucleotide ribosomal RNA is filed under the name uncultured bacterium. RNAcentral describes it as "partial 16S ribosomal RNA". It matches the Rfam family "Bacterial small subunit ribosomal RNA", at positions 338 to 795 of the family's 1533-position model. The record is from RNAcentral.
CCUACGGGGGGCAGCAGUGAGGAAUAUUGGUCAAUGGACGCAAGUCUGAACCAGCCAUGCCGCGUGCAGGAAGACGGCCCUAUGAGUUGUAAACUGCUUUUGUACGAGGGUAAACGCAGAUACGCGUAUCUGUCUGAAAGUAACGUACGAAUAAGGAUCGGCUAACUCCGUGCCAGCAGCCGCGGUAAUACGGAGGAUUCAAGCGUUAUCCGGAUUUCUUGGGUUUAAAGGGUGCUUAGGCGGUCGGAUAAGUUAGAGGUGAAAUCCCGAGGCUCAACUUCGGAAUUGCCUCUGAUACUGUGCGGCUAGAGAGUAGUUGAGGUAGGCGGAAUGUGUGGUGUAGCGGUGAAAUGCUUAGAGAUCAUGCAGAACACCGAUUGCGAAGGCAGCUUACCAAGCUACUUCUGACGUUGAGGCACGAAAGCGAGGGGAGCAAACAGGAGUAGAUACCCUAGUAGUC